GUAGGUGGCAAGCGUUGUCCGGAAUUAUUGGGCGUAAAGCGCGCGCAGGCGGUUCUUUAAGUCUGAUGUGAAAGCCCACGGCUCAACCGUGGAGGGUCAUUGGAAACUGGAGAACUUGAGUACAGGAGAGGAAAGCGGAAUUCCACGUGUAGCGGUGAAAUGCGUAGAGAUGUGGAGGAACACCAGUGGCGAAGGCGGCUUUCUGGUCUGUAACUGACGCUGAGGCGCGAAAGCGUGGGGAGCAAACAGGAUUAGAUACCCUGGUAGUCCACGCCGUAAACGAUGAGUGCUAAGUGUUAGGGGGUUUCCGCCCCCUUAGUGCUGCAGCUAACGCAUUAAGCACUCCGCCUGGGAGUACGGCCGCAAGGCUG
RNAcentral lists this ribosomal RNA (371 nucleotides) under uncultured organism. Its description in RNAcentral is "partial 16S ribosomal RNA". It matches the Rfam family "Bacterial small subunit ribosomal RNA", at positions 527 to 896 of the family's 1533-position model. The record is from RNAcentral.